This 1036-nucleotide ribosomal RNA is filed under the name uncultured bacterium. Its description in RNAcentral is "bacterial SSU rRNA". It matches the Rfam family "Bacterial small subunit ribosomal RNA", at positions 59 to 1096 of the family's 1533-position model. The record is from RNAcentral.
CAGUCGAGCGGUAUAUACUUUAGCAAUCUUCGGAAGAGCGACGGUAUAGAGAGCGGCGGACGGGUGAGUAACGCGUAGGCAACCUGCCCCAUACAGAGGGAUAGCCUCGGGAAACCGGGAUUAAAACCUCAUAACGCGAGAUGUUCACAUGGACAUUUCGCCAAAGAUUUAUCGGUAUGGGAUGGGCCUGCGUCUGAUUAGCUAGUUGGUGGGGUAACGGCCUACCAAGGCGACGAUCAGUAGCCGACCUGAGAGGGUAAUCGGCCACAUUGGAACUGAGACACGGUCCAAACUCCUACGGGAGGCAGCAGUGGGGAAUAUUGCACAAUGGGCGAAAGCCUGAUGCAGCAACGCCGCGUGAGCGAUGAAGGCCUUUGGGUCGUAAAGCUCUGUCCUUGGGAAAGAAAAAAAUGACGGUACCCUUGGAGGAAGCCCCGGCUAACUACGUGCCAGCAGCCGCGGUAAUACGUAGGGGGCAAGCGUUAUCCGGAAUUAUUGGGCGUAAAGAGUGCGUAGGUGGUUUUGUAAGCGCGGGGUGAAAGGCAAUAGCUCAACUAUUGUAAGCCUUGCGAACUGUAAGACUUGAGUGCAGGAGAGGAAAGUGGAAUUCCUAGUGUAGCGGUGAAAUGCGUAGAUAUUAGGAGGAACACCAGUGGCGAAGGCGACUUUCUGGACUGUAACUGACACUGAGGCACGAAAGCGUGGGGAGCAAACAGGGUUAGAUACCCUGGUAGUCCACGCCGUAAACGAUGAGCACUAGGUGUCGGGGCCGCAAGGUUUCGGUGCCGCAGUUAACGCAUUAAGUGCUCCGCCUGGGGAGUACGCACGCAAGUGUGAGACUCAAAGGAAUUGACGGGGACCCGCACAAGCAGCGGAGCAUGUGGUUUAAUUCGAAAGCACGCGAAGAACCUUACCAGGACUUGACAUCCCUCUGACCGGCGCUUAACCGUGCCUUCCCUUCGGGGCAGAGGUGACAGGGGGUGCAUGGUUGUCCUCAGCUCGUGUCCUGAGAUGUUGGGUUAAGUCCCGCAACCAG